AACGAACGCUGGCGGCAUGCCUAACACAUGCAAGUCGAACGAGACCUUCGGGUCUAGUUGCGCACGGGUGCGUAACGCGUGGGAACCUGCCCGUAGGUUCGGAAUAACUCCCCGAAAGGGGUGCUAAUACCGGAUAACGUCUUCGGACCAAAGAUUUAUCGCCUUUGGAUGGGCCCGCGUUGGAUUAGCUAGUUGGUAGGGUAAAAGCCUACCAAGGCGACGAUCGAUAGCUGGUCUGAGAGGAUGAUCAGCCACACUGGGACUGGGACACGGCCCAGACUCCUACGGGAGGCAGCAGUGUGGAAUAUUGGACAAUGGGCGAAAGCCUGAUCCAGCAAUGCCGCGUGAGUGAUGAAGGCCUUAGGGUUGUAAAGCUCUUUUACCCGGGAUGAUAAUGACAGUACCGGGAGAAUAAGCUCCGGCUAACUCCGUG
Molecule: ribosomal RNA, 433 nt
Filed under: uncultured bacterium
Lineage: Bacteria
Description: partial 16S ribosomal RNA
Rfam family: Bacterial small subunit ribosomal RNA
Source: RNAcentral